GGCCAAUCAGGUAGAUCAUAUUCCCCUCCCACACCCGCCCCCGCCCCCCCUCCUUCUCAUCUUUUCCUUGGCGUCUGAAAGGAAAAAGAAAAGCUUUAUAUAUUCAACACACUGUUUCUGUAUUUUCUAGGGUGCCUGGUAGAUAUGUUUUUUUUUUGUUUUGGGACUCCUUCCUUCUUUGUUUCCUCCUCGUCCUUUUCCUCUUCUUCCUUUCUUUAAGCCUCUCCUGGAGUAAGUGAUGGAAGGAAACAGAAGUGCUUUGAACUUCCCAAGCAUUGCUUUGUGUAUUUACUUUUCUUGCCUUCCACUUUGAGUAUGGUGAUUUCAGUAGCAGUAAUUUUUCCCUCAGUGAAGGGGCUGGAAAAUAGGGUUGGUCAUGCUGGAGUGAUUUUAUUGGUUGUAGUUAUCUUGAUUUACAUGUUCCAGUCUUGCCUUUCUAGGGAGGGUUGGAACUAAUUUGGUUCUGCGGGAUUUAGUUUUAGUGUUGGGAAUUUACAUCUUCAAGAGAGGAAUAGUGAAUCCUUUCUCAUUGUUUUUGGCACAUUGAAAGCUUUGAUACUUGGUAGUUUUAACAUAAGAGAGCUCAAAUUUACCUGUGCAACGUCAGAAGGCUUCAUUGGUCAUGGAUAUUUGAUGGUUGCAGGCUGUAGAGAGAGCAGCUGGU
Molecule: unclassified non-coding RNA, 664 nt
Filed under: Hevea brasiliensis (rubber tree)
Lineage: Eukaryota; Viridiplantae; Streptophyta; Magnoliopsida; Malpighiales; Euphorbiaceae
Source: RNAcentral